Molecule: long non-coding RNA, 958 nt
Organism: Fundulus heteroclitus (mummichog)
Lineage: Eukaryota; Metazoa; Chordata; Actinopteri; Cyprinodontiformes; Fundulidae
Exons: 2
Source: RefSeq, a predicted model, not a curated record
UCACCAGAUCCACGCCGGCAGCCACACACGCGCACCCAGACACACGUUUCACAGUCUGCAUGAAGGUUCACCCCGGCUUGAAAACGAACGGGUUUGCAAGCGCACUAACACAAAGAUUUCAGCUCUAUUUUGAAGUUCAGCUUGUGGCCCAAUGAGGCAGCGGAUUCAGAGCUUCUGGACCGAAAGGUGCCUGAUGACCACGGCUUAUCCUGUCUUCUUUUGUCUUUGCUUCGUAACACCAUCUGUGCCGUGCGCACGCAGGGCCCCGCACACGGCCGUCUCUCUCUGAAGGUUCAGUCCGUCAAAACGAGAAAAUAAUAAUUUUUUUUUCUUUCACAACAGCGAGAGAUGCAACUUCCUGUUAUGGAGUGUGGAAGAGCAAAUUGCCCUUUCUCUAAUUUGACAUUUAUUUCUGAUUGCUCACAAUUAGAUUCAGCAACCGACCAGCCAGAUUUAAUUUCCUUAUUUAGAGCCCUCCUGUGUUUUACAGGGUAGCAUAAAUGUAUAUAAAUUAUACGGAUGAAUGGAACAUGGAGCAGCAAUCUAUCUGGCAAAAGGAGAAGCUUUGAUAUUGCUUUCAGUUGGGUGUUAUUUAUGGGUAACUCUGCCCCCUGGAGGUUUUUUAUUGUAAUUGUAGAUUUUCAGUGAUGCAGAGAGUGACGGCUCAGUAACUUUUUGAGGCCUGGCUGGUCAGACUGACCUUAACGCCCUGGGCAGACUCACUGUACAAAUCACAGCGAGGGGAGUUUACGAUGCGUCACUCUUAGUGCCAGAAUCAUAAAGAAUUAAUAAUAAUUAUAAUAAUAAAUUGUUAAAAAAAAAUACCUAAAAAUAUUCAAAGUCAAAUCUUAAACCCAUUCAUAAAGUUAAAAAAAAUGCCGAGCCCUGUUAUUUAUAGUUUUUCAAGAGAAGUUUGAUGUAUUUAAAAUUGGCCGAUUAGCAAUUCACAAACUGAGAG